AGUGAACGCUGGCGGUAGGCCUAACACAUGCAAGUCGAACGGCAGCACAGUAAGAGCUUGCUCUUACGGGUUGCGAGUGGCGGACGGGUGAGGAAUACAUCGUAAUCUACUUUUUCGUGGGGGAUAACGUAGGUAAACUUACGCUAAUACCGCAUACGACCUACGGGUGAAAGCAGGGGAUCUUCGGACCUUGCGCGAUUGAAUGAGCCGAUGUCGGAUUAGCUAGUUGGCGGGGUAAAGGCCCACCAAGGCGACGAUCCGUAGCUGGUCUGAGAGGAUGAUCAGCCACACUGGAACUGAGACACGGUCCAGACUCCUACGGGAGGCAGCAGUGGGGAAUAUUGGACAAUGGGCGCAAGCCUGAUCCAGCCAUACCGCGUGGGUGAAGAAGGCCUUCGGGUUGUAAAGCCCUUUUGUUGGGAAAGAAAAGCAGCAGGUUAAUACCCCGCUGUUCUGACGGUACCCAAAGAAUAAGCACCGGCUAACUUCGUG
Molecule: ribosomal RNA, 492 nt
Filed under: uncultured bacterium
Lineage: Bacteria
Description: partial 16S ribosomal RNA
Rfam family: Bacterial small subunit ribosomal RNA
Source: RNAcentral